RNA transcript from Lytechinus pictus (painted urchin), 4052 nucleotides. It is a transcript of the gene named WD repeat domain phosphoinositide-interacting protein 3-like, with no coding region annotated. The transcript is spliced from 11 exons. NCBI's taxonomy places the organism in Eukaryota, Metazoa, Echinodermata, Echinoidea, Temnopleuroida, Toxopneustidae. The record is from RefSeq and is a predicted model, not a curated record.
GGCAAUAUGGCGUCGUCCAUUAAGCUGACGUUAGCCAGCGGCGACUGCACGUACGUGUCUCCCGAAGGCCGAACUUGACUGAAUGGAAGCGAGAAAAAGAAGUCAGUAAAUUUCACACUUUUUUUUGUCUUUAGUUUUAAACACUCUUUGUGGUGCAGUUAAGCUUAGAUUGUUUUAUUCUUAAAUUGUGAUUGAUCUACAUACUCCCUUUGCUCUAUGUAGUAACGUUAGGUUGGAUCAGACAGUUCUCAAAUCAGUCAAAAUCAAAUCACGAAAUUCAGAAUCAGAUUUUCUGCCAUCGCGUUUUGACUGCACUGCCACUGCUGCAGCCGCAUCGUCAUCAGUCAUGAAUCUGGCCGAGAGGAAAGGCGAGAAUUCGUAUGACAACAGUCUCCUCUACGCAGGAUUCAAUCAAGACAAUGGUUGUUUUGCAUGUGGAAUGGAGUCUGGUUUCAGGGUGUAUAACUGUGACCCUCUAAAGGAGAAAGAGAGACAAGAUUUCACAGAUGGUGGAGUUGGGCAUGUUGAGAUGUUGUUUCGAUGCAACUAUCUUGCAUUGGUGGGCGGCGGCAAGAACCCUCACUAUCCUCCCAAUAAAGCUAUGAUCUGGGAUGACCUCAAGAAGAAACAUGUGAUUGAGCUAGAGUUCUCUAGUGAAGUCAAGAGUGUGCGAUUAAGAAGAGACAGGAUAGUUGUGGUCUUACAGUCUAUGAUCAAAGUCUACACAUUCACACAGAAUCCUCAGCAGCUGCAUGUCUUUGACACAUGUAUGAAUCCUAAAGGUCUCUGUGUUCUGUGCCCGAACAGCAACAAUUCAUUGCUUGCCUUCCCUGCCACAAAGACAGGCCACGUGCAGAUCAUCGAUCUCGCUCAGACGGACAAACCCCCUUUAGACAUAGCAGCACACGAGGGCGUCCUAAGCUGUUUAACAUUCAACCAUCAAGGAUCAAGAUUAGCAACAGCAUCAGACAGGGGCACGUUGAUCAGAGUUUUUGAUACAGGCAACGGACAACAACUCCAUGAGCUAAGAAGAGGAUCAGGAGGAGCUCAGAUUUACUGUAUCAACUUCAACCAGGAUUCCACCAUGCUGUGUGUGUCAAGCGACCAUGGAACCAUUCAUGUCUUCGCUCUAGAGGCAGACGCACAGAAGAACAAAAAAUCACACUUAGCAUCAGCCACUUUCCUGCCAAAGUACUUCAACUCGUCAUGGAGUUUCUGUAAAUUCCAGGUGCCCAACCACGCCCAGUGCAUCUGUGCCUUCGGUUCUGAUCCAAACUCGGUUGUAGCUAUCUGUGCGGAUGGAAGCUACUUCAAGUUCGUCUUCAACAACAAGGGAGAAUGCAGUCGAGAUGUCUACACGCGAUUCCUUGAGAUGACCGAUGACCACAGUUGAGACCCCUUCCGCUUCCUCUUGACCGGGCCGACAGCGAGUCACCUAGUCACAUGACCAGCAAUAACAAAUCAGAUGAUUUGUCCUAGAUGAAGAGGUCAUGACCAAUUUGCUGUGCUGCUGCAGCACAGAAAACAUACACGCAACAGAGAACGUUCCAUGGAGAUGCAGCUCGUUUGCAGAGCUGUUACGACGUGUGCGCUGGCCUGCGAUGCGAUUGCCCCGAGAUGGGAGCAGCAAACUUGUUCCAAUCGGAUCUUAGUGCAAUGGUGUUGCACGAUGCGCGCUGGGCUUUAUGACAAAAUUGAAUUUAUAGCACCCACAUUGCCUAGUCUGCUGUGCAAACCCUUCACUUGAGUAAAGGGUCUGAAUUGCAGCCUACUCAUGCCUUGUGUACUGUAGGCCCUCACAGCAAGUUUUGUAUGUGCUAGUCUUUGCGUGGAGACACACUUGUUGAUCAAAGUUUCAAUCAGGGUCUGUGCCUGCAGACUACACAUCGCCUGGACUUUUCAAUCCAGGGUUUCAUGGCUUAAGCAUAUGGCUUAAGCAUGAACAUUCGUAAAUAAUCAGUUGACUUUCUACAUGACAAAUUCCAGUAUUACUCAGUAUGAUAUAUACUCCAGGAUGCAUGCUAUUAAAUAGCAAAGGUUGCAGUAAAAUUUAUAAUAAUCAAACAUGAAAGAAAGAACUUUCAUAGAAAUGUAUGCUUUCUAUAAUAUCAGACAUUUACAUUUAAAAUUGCAUUUGUAAAUUAUAAUAUGACAGAGUAUGUUUGAAGGUUUCUAAUAUGCAGAUGUAAUAAUUAUAUACAUGUAGAUUCAGUACUUAGAUUAUCUUUAAUUUUAUUCUGUGAAUUGUAUUUACAUUCCCGCUCGUUUCUCGAUUUUCUUUUAAAAUAAUCACUUUCUUGUCACAUGCAGUAUUCUCGUCUUGCUAUAUAAAAGGGAAGUGUCAUUGGUGAGAGCAGGGAGUUAACUCCCUGGUAGGAGAGAUGUGAAACUUUACUCAAUUUCUGGUAAUGUUCUUGCAUGUACUAGAUAACAUGCAGUAGACUGCCUCAAAUAUGCUGCCACAACAAAGUAAGCUUCAUUUUAAAACACGACCCAUUUCUUAGUCUCUUGUAAGGCGGCACUAAAUCUGAACUUCAUUGCUGUCCUAUUUUUUUCUUUCUCAUUUUGUCUCUGUGGUGUUAAUGCCGCACAAGUCACAAUGGCGAAACCAACCCAAACCGACCAGUGGUAUGUCAGUGGAAAUAAUGUAAUAUCUUUGUCUGUUCUGGGCCAUGUCUUACAAAGAGUUGCAGUGAUCCAAUCAGUGGUGGAUCCAGGCAGGGGUACAUUCGGCCCAUUUCCACGCCCCCCCCCCCCUUUUAGAGCCAUAACAGAUAUUUGUUAGGGGAAUAUGUCCUGCUUACACAAUUAUUUGCUUGUCAAAAUUUUCACGAUAUAAGUCACCAUUAAUUGGGAGUGGAUACCUUUUUGGGGGCUUCUUAAUUUUUUCUGUACAAAAAUCCCCCCCCCCCCACCAUGCCAACAUGUAAGUCAUGUUCAAGAUGUUUCCAAGAUAUGAUGUAUACUCAUACAUUCAUUGCUGUCUUUAUAAUCCAGUUUGCUCCACUUGUUUCCAAACUAGGAAAAGUUAUGACAAUGAUGGAUUCCCAUAUAAUUGGAGUUGAUCAGUUCUCCCCCCAUAUUACAAAGAGUUGCGAUCAAUUCGAUCAACCCCAACUAUUUGGAAAUCCAUCAUUGUCAUGAUUUUUCCUCCGGGAUAUUUCCAAUAUGACCUUUGUAAACAAAGAGAAGCACACUGAAUUUUUAAGAAAAUGGUGAAUGUAUGAAUAAAGAGCAGAUCUAGAAAUUACUUUGAACAAUCAUGCAAAUAUGUAUUUGUAUGUUGACGUUGCUGGCCAUUCAUUGUUGUGGUCGAUAGGGGCCCAUCUUGCAAAGAGUUACGAUUGAUCCAAUCAAUCUCAACUAUAUGGAAAUCCAUGCCUGUCGUAAUUUUUUCCAAAGGAAAUUUGCACGAUGUCCUUUGAGAACAGAGAGAAGCAUACUGAAUUGAAAAGAAAGUGGUGAAUGUAUGAAUAUACAUAUCUACAAAACAUUUUGAAGAAACAUAUAUUUUAGAUAUUGACGUUGCUGGCUUUCCAUAGUUGUGGUUGAUUGGAUCACUCGCAACUCUUUGUAAGACGGGGCCCUGGGGUUGGUUUUGUUGAUGUGACUGAAGCAGUGGAUGAUUUCAAGUUCAGUGUUGACCUCUUGGUGUUAGUGUUAGGUCAAUUUUUACACGAGUAUAACACCAAACACAACAUGAAGAUAGUCCUGACAAGUCACUCACUAGGUGUUGAGCUGUCAAUAUUGUGAUCUGGAUCAUAAGUGUAAACUCAGAAUAGGUUUUUGGAGCUAGGAAACACGAUCCAAAAUGUGCUUCCAACACCAACACUGAACUAGAAAUCACCCAUUGUAAGGUGGUACACUUCAUUAUUAUGAACAAGGCUUUAACAAUUUUAUUCCAUCUUUGUUUAUACCAUAUUAUUACUCAAUAAGUGAGAAACCAAUAAGACUUAGCAGUAUGGAUUUAGUAUGAUAUGUACAGUAACAAUUACAAUAGAAUAUGAUUGUAAAUAUAAUAUUCAUUCAAUUAAAAAAACAUUUCUAGCAUA